Molecule: non-coding RNA, 117 nt
Organism: Vicia faba (fava bean)
Lineage: Eukaryota; Viridiplantae; Streptophyta; Magnoliopsida; Fabales; Fabaceae
Source: the annotation of a GenBank genome assembly
UUCCAAGACCCCGAGGCUCGAGCCCUCAAUCAGAUUUUUGGGGGAUCUUUGCCGUUGAUCCUAGCAAUGAAGAAAGAUGAUCUUCCUUUAGCCGGGCACACACCCAGUAAGAUGUGA